Long non-coding RNA from Coregonus clupeaformis (lake whitefish), 1058 nucleotides. RefSeq lists it as uncharacterized. The record is from RefSeq and is a predicted model, not a curated record. Lineage: Eukaryota; Metazoa; Chordata; Actinopteri; Salmoniformes; Salmonidae. The transcript is spliced from 3 exons.
AACAGCGAGUAGCAGCAGUGCAAAAACAAUGGAGGGUGGUUGUCAAUGCAAAUAGUCCCGGUGGCCAUUUGAUUAUUUGUUCAGCAGUUUUAUGGCUUGGGGAUAGAAUCUGUUAAGGAGCCUUUUGGACCUAGACUUGGCUCUCCGGUAACCCAGCCCUUUUGCGCCCAUAAUUCUGGUUGUGAAAAAUCGCUAAAACAUUUCCGACACACCCCCAAACCUAUAGCGCCAUCGCUAAGAUUGACCAUUGCAUUAGGUUUGUUAAAAGGCGAGAUCAAAAUGCUUUGGUUCGAUGGACCACACUGCGAGGUGAGUAACCUUGCCUGAGACCACAAAGCUUGUGUCAGCUCCCCAAAUGUGCCAACGUUUACAUCAGCAGGUUACCACUCUUGUAGGCUAGUAUGCAGGCCUAGGCAACUCAAUCAUUCGUUUUUUACUUACUUCCACAAAUUCACCAUUGCAAGCAACAAAACGUAAGUGCGACUUCUGAGCAAUGAUAAUUCAACAGUGAUAUACCGUAGCACCAUUUACAGUCACUGUUGGUAGUGGUACCGCAUUAGAAUUGGAAUCUUUGUUGGUAGGCCUACUGCGUGGAAUGGAUAGGUGUACAGCAGUUUGCCCUCGUGCAUAGAACGCUUGCGCAGACAAACUUGUUAGUCACGAGAAAUCCGAUUUGCCUCUCAACCAACAAGGGUGCUGCGUAGGAUUUCAGGAGAGGGAGGGGCUUCUCGGUUGCUCAAUAUGGCUGCGCCCUGUGGAGAACAACAAGUGUAGAAGUGCCUGCCGUGGCCACCCCAUUACGACAGCACAGCAGGUUGCUGGCUGGCUUUAUCUUGAGAGGGGGGACAGUCUCAUAGGCAUCUGCCUUCCAGCAGCACCAUGGCAAAGGAGCAGCCGAAUGUGAGCGACCUCCUCCCGCUCCUGGAGUCGUCCGAUCUGCAUGAACUGGAUCAGAUUAAAAGUGUCCUCAAUGACCACCUCAGCACAGGUCAGAAAUCACAAUUCAGCAUUAUCCUCCCUCUCCCUACUAGUCACUCCACCAUGACAGGCUGAGGUUA